RNAcentral lists this ribosomal RNA (478 nucleotides) under uncultured bacterium. Its description in RNAcentral is "partial 16S ribosomal RNA". It matches the Rfam family "Bacterial small subunit ribosomal RNA", at positions 28 to 523 of the family's 1533-position model. The record is from RNAcentral.
GACGAACGCUGGCGGCGUGCUUAACACAUGCAAGUCGAACGGUAAGGCCCUUCGGGGUACACGAGUGGCGAACGGGUGAGUAACACGUGGGUGAUCUGCCCUGCACUUCGGGAUAAGCCUGGGAAACUGGGUCUAAUACCGGAUAGGACUCCGGACUGCAUGGUCUGGGGUGGAAAGCUUUUGCGGUGUGGGAUGGGCCCGCGGCCUAUCAGCUUGGUGGUGGGGUGAUGGCCUACCAAGGCGACGACGGGUAGCCGGCCUGAGAGGGUGACCGGCCACACUGGGACUGAGAUACGGCCCAGACUCCUACGGGAGGCAGCAGUGGGGAAUAUUGCACAAUGGGCGCAAGCCUGAUGCAGCGACGCCGCGUGAGGGAUGACGGCCUUCGGGUUGUAAACCUCUUUCAGCAUCGACGAAGCGGAAGUGACGGUAGGUGCAGAAGAAGGACCGGCCAACUACGUGCCAGCCGCCGCAGUAA